GCUUAUUGUAGGCAACAUUAAUGUGAACCUUUGAGUGUGGGUGUGGGAGUGUAGUUUUUGUGGUUUGUCUGUUAUUUGUAUUGAAAGGAAAGACGGAGAGCUAUGAUGAACAGGAUUGUUGUAACUUACUGCUAGGGAUUCUCUCUUAAAACACCAUCUAGUCCAUCUAAAUUGACCUUAACAUAGUCAAAGUCAUGAAUAAUAGUGGUGUUAAAAUACAAAGCCAGCAUCUCACUCACACUAUGCAAUGCUGGCAGACAUACCUACAGACGACCCCCUCACGGAACAGCAACGACUUCUGUGCCUCAGACAGUCAGUUCUCCCACUGCCGUGUGAAUGGUAUCCCGAAGCAGCGCAUGUGUGACGGCUUCAGUGACUACUGCAGUAACGGAGAGGAUGAGUCUGUGCAGCUGUGUGGCACUGACGAGUGCCGGGAGAAGAAUGUCGGGUGUGAGCCCCUGUGCAUUAACACUCGAGAGUCAUACUACUGCCAGUGCCGGCCAGGAUACUGACUCGUGAGGAAGUUCAACUGUGAAGACGUUGACGAGUGCGUGGAGUCGGCCAGAUCAUCUCCAUGUCGGGUUCCUGAAGAUGCGUCGACGUGGUAUCAUCCACACAAGCUUCCCAACCCACCCAGCGUACCACAAGACAACAGGCACUGAGGUGGACAGGAGCGCGCGGCUGCAUGCACCAUUGAACAGGACGGUAUUAUAUUCCUCCCACAGGAGUAUGACUACAGCGAAGCAAGCCCAGAAUAAAGUGUUGAGUGACCAUGAUGAUUCAGUACUACUAACACCAAAGAGGUGAGGGAAGUGUUUGGAGUGAGC
Long non-coding RNA from Portunus trituberculatus (swimming crab), 827 nucleotides. RefSeq lists it as uncharacterized. The transcript has 4 exons. The record is from RefSeq and is a predicted model, not a curated record. NCBI's taxonomy places the organism in Eukaryota, Metazoa, Arthropoda, Malacostraca, Decapoda, Portunidae.